Molecule: ribosomal RNA, 923 nt
Filed under: Lactobacillus sp. B4
Lineage: Bacteria; Bacillati; Bacillota; Bacilli; Lactobacillales; Lactobacillaceae
Description: bacterial SSU rRNA
Rfam family: Bacterial small subunit ribosomal RNA
Source: RNAcentral
GCAUCGGAAACUGGGAAACUUGAGUGCAGAAGAGGACAGUGGAACUCCAUGUGUAGCGGUGAAAUGCGUAGAUAUAUGGAAGAACACCAGUGGCGAAGGCGGCUGUCUGGUCUGUAACUGACGCUGAGGCUCGAAAGUAUGGGUAGCAAACAGGAUUAGAUACCCUGGUAGUCCAUACCGUAAACGAUGAAUGCUAAGUGUUGGAGGGUUUCCGCCCUUCAGUGCUGCAGCUAACGCAUUAAGCAUUCCGCCUGGGGAGUACGGCCGCAAGGCUGAAACUCAAAGGAAUUGACGGGGGCCCGCACAAGCGGUGGAGCAUGUGGUUUAAUUCGAAGCUACGCGAAGAACCUUACCAGGUCUUGACAUACUAUGCAAAUCUAAGAGAUUAGACGUUCCCUUCGGGGACAUGGAUACAGGUGGUGCAUGGUUGUCGUCAGCUCGUGUCGUGAGAUGUUGGGUUAAGUCCCGCAACGAGCGCAACCCUUAUUAUCAGUUGCCAGCAUUAAGUUGGGCACUCUGGUGAGACUGCCGGUGACAAACCGGAGGAAGGUGGGGAUGACGUCAAAUCAUCAUGCCCCUUAUGACCUGGGCUACACACGUGCUACAAUGGAUGGUACAACGAGUUGCGAACUCGCGAGAGUAAGCUAAUCUCUUAAAGCCAUUCUCAGUUCGGAUUGUAGGCUGCAACUCGCCUACAUGAAGUCGGAAUCGCUAGUAAUCGCGGAUCAGCAUGCCGCGGUGAAUACGUUCCCGGGCCUUGUACACACCGCCCGUCACACCAUGAGAGUUUGUAACACCCAAAGUCGGUGGGGUAACCUUUUAGGAACCAGCCGCCUAAGGUGGGACAGAUGAUUAGGGUGAAGUCGUAACAAGGUAGCCGUAGGAGAACCUGCGGCUGGAUCACCUCCAAUCGGAUCCCGGGC